This 132-nucleotide small nucleolar RNA is filed under the name Carlito syrichta (Philippine tarsier). The record is from RNAcentral. Lineage: Eukaryota; Metazoa; Chordata; Mammalia; Primates; Tarsiidae.
GGUUUCUCUCCUAUGGGCCUGUGGAGAGUUCCUUUUUUCCUCAGCCAAGGCUGGAUGCCAAGAUCAGCCUUCAGAGAUCAUUGUCAGGACUGCUACAAGCUGGGCAGCCUUGUUUUACUACCUCAGACAGUU